Molecule: long non-coding RNA, 563 nt
Filed under: Homo sapiens (human)
Lineage: Eukaryota; Metazoa; Chordata; Mammalia; Primates; Hominidae
Description: non-protein coding lnc-SALL2-1:2
Source: RNAcentral
AUUUUCCGGUUAGCCUUCGGGGUGUCCGCGUGAGAAUUGGCUAUAUCCUGGAGCGAGUGCUGGGAGGUGCUAGUCCGCCGCGCCUUAUUCGAGAGGUGUCAGGGCUGGGAGACUAGGAUGUCGGACACGUGGAGCUCUAUCCAGGCCCACAAGAAGCAGCUGGACUCUCUGCGGGAGAGGCUGCAGCGGAGGCGGAAGCAGGACUCGGGGCACUUGGCUCACUUUUACCGGACGGACGCUUGAGCCCCACCCUCGUCCGCCUUGCCCACUCCUCUUCAGACUGCGAGGACGUCGCCUUUGUGAGGCUGCUCAGCCCCCUAUCCCGCGAAGCAGCAAGAACCCCUUUUUGUUGCUGCUUUGGCGCUUUGUUCCCUCAGUUAUAACGACUGUUUUGUAGUGGUCAUUUCUUGGCAGCUGUGGGUACAGUAAGCGAGGAAUGAACCUUUAUAUCCGCAGUGCCCAAUUUAGUGGCCCGUACAGAGUGGCACUGGGUGUUUCUGAAUGAGUACCCCUACCGGCAUUGACUUAGCCAUUUACAUACCUAGCAGGAAUCUGAAAACAUU